UGAGAGGUUGAACGGCCACAUUGGGACUGAGACACGGCCCAAACUCCUACGGGAGGCAGCAGUAGGGAAUUUUCGGCAAUGGAGGAAACUCUGACCGAGCAACGCCGCGUGAACGAUGAAGUAUUUCGGUACGUAAAGUUCUUUUAUUAGGGAAGAAUAAAUGAUGGAAAAAUCAUUCUGACGGUACCUAAUGAAUAAGCCCCGGCUAACUAUGUGCCAGCAGCCGCGGUAAUACAUAGGGGGCAAGCGUUAUCCGGAAUUAUUGGGCGUAAAGGGUGCGUAGGCGGUUAAAUAAGUUUAUGGUCUAAGUGCAAUGCUCAACAUUGUGAUGCUAUAAAAACUGUUUAGCUAGAGUAAGAUAGAGGCAAGUGGAAUUCCAUGUGUAGUG
This 388-nucleotide ribosomal RNA is filed under the name 'Melia azedarach' little leaf yellowing phytoplasma. Its description in RNAcentral is "bacterial SSU rRNA". It matches the Rfam family "Bacterial small subunit ribosomal RNA", at positions 293 to 680 of the family's 1533-position model. The record is from RNAcentral. Lineage: Bacteria; Bacillati; Mycoplasmatota; Mollicutes; Acholeplasmatales; Acholeplasmataceae.